GAAAUUGAUCGAGGUUGAUUGGUAUAGACUCGUUAGAGGACGAUUUACACUUUCAGGAAGGAUUCGUGAACCAAGAGGGACUAUAGAAGGAGAUUGAGCUUGGAAAUGUAAGGUUUGAUGAAGAAACCAAAAUAGAAGUCUGCAAUGUGAGAAUUGAUGAUGGGAAAAGACACAUCUACGUGAAGAUCUGAUAUUGUCUUCUCCUUGAUGAUGUUGAACGCCACAUUUUUUGAUAGCGUCAACCGAAUCAACCCUGAGGCCUGCUGAUCCUUGAGCUUCUACUGCUCCGUGUUCAUUGUAUCCGAAUUCACCUCCUACAGGGGUUUGUGAAGAUCUUUCUCGUACAUAUAAUCUUCAAUCUGCAUCGUCCAAAAAUCAAAAUCGGAUCCAUCAAACUUCUCAAUUCCAACAUUUGAGCUUUCGAUCUUCACAGAUGAUGAUGAAUCUCGCCUAAAUUUGAUACUAGUUCAUAGGAUCACACAAUAACACAACACACCAUCUAGAUGAUCACAAAGAACAGGAGAGAGAAAAUGAGAGGAGGA
Cucurbita moschata (crookneck pumpkin) is the source of this 542-nucleotide long non-coding RNA. RefSeq lists it as uncharacterized. NCBI's taxonomy places the organism in Eukaryota, Viridiplantae, Streptophyta, Magnoliopsida, Cucurbitales, Cucurbitaceae. The record is from RefSeq and is a predicted model, not a curated record. The transcript has 3 exons.